Molecule: ribosomal RNA, 685 nt
Filed under: fungal endophyte sp. SX07
Lineage: Eukaryota; Fungi
Description: eukaryotic LSU rRNA
Rfam family: 5.8S ribosomal RNA (bases 278-431)
Source: RNAcentral
CUAACAAGGUUUCCGUAGGUGAACCUGCGGAAGGAUCAUUAACGAAUAACUAUGGCGUUGGUUGUAGCUGGCUCCUCGGAGCAAUGUGCACGCCCGCCAUUUUUAUCUUUCCACCUGUGCACCGACUGUAGGUCUGGAUACCUCUCGCCUCCGGGCGGAUGCGAGGGUUGCUCGUAAGGGCUUCCCUUGAACUUCCAGGCUCUACGUCUUUUUACACACCCCAAUAGUAUGAUGCAGAAUGUAGUCAAUGGGCUUCUCAGCCUAUAAAACACUAUACAACUUUCAGCAACGGAUCUCUUGGCUCUCGCAUCGAUGAAGAACGCAGCGAAAUGCGAUAAGUAAUGUGAAUUGCAGAAUUCAGUGAAUCAUCGAAUCUUUGAACGCACCUUGCGCUCCUUGGUAUUCCGAGGAGCAUGCCUGUUUGAGUGUCAUUAAAUUCUCAACCUCACCAGUUUUCUGAACUGACUGAGGCUUGGAUGUGGGGGUUUGUGCAGGCUGCCUCACCGGCGGUCUGCUCCCCUGAAAUGCAUUAGCGAGGUUCAUGCUGGACCUCCGUCUAUUGGUGUGAUAAUUAUCUACGCCGUGGACGAGGAUACAGACUCGCUUCUAACCGUCCGCGAGGACAAUACCUUGACAAUUUGACCUCAAAUCAGGUAGGACUACCCGCUGAACUUAAGCAUAUCAA